This 492-nucleotide ribosomal RNA is filed under the name uncultured bacterium. RNAcentral describes it as "partial 16S ribosomal RNA". It matches the Rfam family "Bacterial small subunit ribosomal RNA", at positions 29 to 507 of the family's 1533-position model. The record is from RNAcentral.
AGUGAACGCUGGCGGUAGGCCUAACACAUGCAAGUCGAACGGCAGCACAGUAAGAUCUUGCUCUUACGGGUGGCGAGUGGCGGACGGGUGAGGAAUACAUCGGAAUCUACUUUUUCUGGGGGGAUAACGUAGGGAAACUUACGCUAAUACCGCAUACGACCUACGGGUGAAAGCAGUGGAUCUUCGGACCUUGCGCGAUUGAAUGAGCCGAUGUCGGAUUAGCUAGUUGGCGGGGUAAAGGCCCACCAAGGCGACGAUCCGUAGCUGGUCUGAGAGGAUGAUCAGCCACACUGGAACUGAGACACGGUCCAGACUCCUACGGGAGGCAGCAGUGGGGAAUAUUGGACAAUGGGCGCAAGCCUGAUCCAGCCAUACCGCGUGGGUGAAGAAGGCCUUCGGGUUGUAAAGCCCUUUUGUUGGGAAAGAAAAGAAGCAGGUUAAUACCUCGCUGUUCUGACGGUACCCAAAGAAUAAGCACCGGCUAACUUCGUG